CCUUCUCUCCCUUCUCUCUAAAAACUAGAUCUAGGGUUGGCCGCCGCUUUUCGGCUCCGGUGGCUUACAUAGCACCGGAGUCGACUUUCUCUCUUUAGAUUAAGUAUGUUUUCGUUUCUUCUUUCUUGGCUUUACCUUCUCCGUGUGUGAGGCUCUUGAUGUUGUAGGCUGGUGGUUCGUGGCAGUGGGUUUUGAAGGUUCGUGGCGGCGCGUAGAGAGCAGUUCUUAAUCCCAUGGAUCCGAUUUCGAUGGAUCUGUUGGCUUUGUGGUCUAAAGUUACGGUUCAUCCGGCUUCACAGGUUAACGUUCGUCUCUCGGAAAGCUUCUCGUUUCAAUGGCAUCUACUAGCUCAUCUCCUGGGCCUUUUGGUUUGGGUGUUGAGUUCAAGGCGUUGGAAUUGGUUCCUUCUUUGACUCUUCUCUUGCGAGGUCGUGGUCGGUCUUAAGGCUGUAGAUGGCUGAGGCUGUUCUUCACGAAUGUCCACGUGUAAGAGCUGGAGAUCCUCUCUGACGUUUUCUCCCUUUGGAGUUCAAGGUCCCCUCCUUGAGCCUAGCUUAUCUCGUCUGCAGCGUCUUCUCAUCGAGGUUGGUUUGGUGUUGGUGCCCGUUGUGGUUUUUGUUCAGUCUUGCGUUUGCUUUCGUCGGUUUGUUGCUGUUUGUGCUGGAGUUUCUAUUUGGUUCGUGCUUCCGGUUAUCUGGUAGUGUCCUUUGGUUUCUCUUCGUUGCACUUGGUUUUUGCUCAAACUCGGCUUCUACAGGUUCUUUGAGGUAGUCGUCGGUUUGCUCUGUUCCUUAUUCUCUUCAGUUCUUAUGAUUCAUUGCCUCCUCCUCUGUUGUUUGUUUGAUCUACCUUUGUUUUUAGAGUUCCGUAAUUCUUAGUUGUUAUGGUCUUUUGUGCCAUGUAGUCUAAUCAAGUGCUUCCCGUGUAUCGGGCUUUAGCUUCCGGGGAUUUUUUUGUUUUCCGCCGGCUUAGUAUUUCAAAAAUGCAUUCCACCCUUGUAUUUCACCUUUGGUUUAUAAUGAAAAAUUAAGUGAAAAAAAAA
Molecule: long non-coding RNA, 1042 nt
Organism: Arabidopsis lyrata subsp. lyrata
Lineage: Eukaryota; Viridiplantae; Streptophyta; Magnoliopsida; Brassicales; Brassicaceae
Exons: 2
Source: RefSeq, a predicted model, not a curated record